RNAcentral lists this transfer RNA (72 nucleotides) under Sus scrofa (pig). It matches the Rfam family "tRNA". From Rfam's summary of the family: Transfer RNA (tRNA) molecules are approximately 80 nucleotides in length. Their secondary structure includes four short double-helical elements and three loops (D, anti-codon, and T loops). Further hydrogen bonds mediate the characteristic L-shaped molecular structure. tRNAs have two regions of fundamental functional importance: the anti-codon, which is responsible for specific mRNA codon recognition, and the 3' end, to which the tRNAs corresponding amino acid is attached (by aminoacyl-tRNA synthetases). tRNAs cope with the degeneracy of the genetic code in two manners: having more than one tRNA (with a specific anti-codon) for a particular amino acid; and 'wobble' base-pairing, i.e. permitting non-standard base-pairing at the 3rd anti-codon position. The record is from Rfam by way of RNAcentral. Lineage: Eukaryota; Metazoa; Chordata; Mammalia; Artiodactyla; Suidae.
UCCCUGGUGGUCUAUAGGUUAAGAUUCUGCACUUUCACUGCUGUAGCCUAGGUUCAAUUCCUAGUCUGGGAA